RNAcentral lists this long non-coding RNA (393 nucleotides) under Homo sapiens (human). Its description in RNAcentral is "HSALNT0361817". Lineage: Eukaryota; Metazoa; Chordata; Mammalia; Primates; Hominidae. The record is from RNAcentral.
AACCAAUCAAUUUUUUAAUUUCCUUCUGUAAACGGGAGUGAAUCGGGGUGGAUUUGAAAUCUCAUUAGUCAAAAAGCUAAGAAGGUGAAGUAAUUGAAAGCGCCCCUUUCUUUUCACUCUGAUCUGAAAUUACAACAGGCUGAGUGGAGCGGGAAUGAGCCUGUGUGUUGCUCAAGCUGUGAAGAGCCAAGUUACAGAAGAGGUAGAGGAAAUAUGACAGGGCUCAAACAACGGCUGCUGAAUUAUAAUAUUUCUGAAGGCCCUAAAGUAUGCUCUUUCUUCCCUCACCCCCUUGCCCCUGAGCCAGUCAGGGAUGAGACUGGCAGAGCACUACUACUACAUCCCUUCUGCUUUCUGUCAUAAACCUGGAACACUCUAGCAUGAUUAAAGAGA